GACGAACGCUGGCGGCGUGCUUAACACAUGCAAGUCGAACGGAAAGGCCCUGCUUUUGUGGGGUGCUCGAGUGGCGAACGGGUGAGUAACACGUGAGUAACCUGCCCUUGACUUUGGGAUAACUUCAGGAAACUGGGGCUAAUACCGGAUAGGAUCUCCUGCUGCAUGGUGGGGGUUGGAAAGUUUCGGCGGUUGGGGAUUGACUCGCGGCUUAUCAGCUUGUUGGUGGGGUAGUGGCUUACCAAGGCUUUGACGGGUAGCCUGCCUGAGAGGGUGAACAGCCACAUUGGGACUGCGGUACGGCGCAGAAUGCAACGGGAGGCAGCAGUGGAGAAUAUUGCACAAUGGGCGGAAGCCUGAUGCAGCAACGCCGCGUGCGGGAUGACGGCCUUCGGGUUGUAAACCGCUUUCGCCUGUGACGAAGCGUGAGUGACGGUAAUGGGUAAAGAAGCACCGGCUAACUACGUG
RNAcentral lists this ribosomal RNA (468 nucleotides) under uncultured bacterium. RNAcentral's name for it is "partial 16S ribosomal RNA". It matches the Rfam family "Bacterial small subunit ribosomal RNA", at positions 28 to 507 of the family's 1533-position model. The record is from RNAcentral.